This 1400-nucleotide long non-coding RNA is filed under the name Ananas comosus (pineapple). Its description in RNAcentral is "long non-coding RNA (ACOM_LNC027654)". Lineage: Eukaryota; Viridiplantae; Streptophyta; Magnoliopsida; Poales; Bromeliaceae. The record is from RNAcentral.
UUUGGUGCUAUCGAGUUUUCUACCGUUAAAUUUAACCAUUUGAUUAUUUUUAUCCGUUAGAUUAUACUAUUCAACCAACCACGCACUCAACCCUAGGAGGCCCACAUCAUCCUAACCGCACAUUUCUCAAUCCAAUGGCUAAAAAACUAAAAACUAUUAACACAAAUAGCUUGGUGCUAUUGAUACUCUUCCGGCCUAGUUCUAUAUAUAUAUAUAUAUAUAUAUAUAUAGAACUUGGCUAGAAUAUUAUUAAUAGCACCAAUAAUUUGGUGCUAUUAAGUUUUUCGCUCUUGGAUUAAAAGAUGUGCGGUUAGGAUGAUGUGAGCCUUCUAGGGUUGAGUGAGUGGUUGGUUGAAUAGUAUAAUCUAACGGGUAAAAAUAAUCAAAGGGGUUAAUCUAACGGCAGAAAACUUAAUAGCACCAAGUGCUUCGUGCUAUCAAUAGCAUAGCAGCCGGACUAUAUAUAUAUAUAUAUACGAGCUAAGCUCCUGAAAUAUCUAUAGUAUCGUGAUUCUGGUACUAAAGUCUCAUUUUUAAUUUUAGGAUGUUAAAAUCAAUUAAAACUGAUCUAGGAUAUUUGAAGUUUUUAGAAAUAAAAUUUUAUAUUUUUUCAACAUAAUUUAUUUUAUGUCAAAUCAUUUCAAAAUUAUCAAUUUUCAAUGACUAUUAUAACAAGUUUGUAAUUUAACGAUGAAAAAAAAAUCUAAAUUUGUUCGAUUUUUGAUAGAAAUAUUUUAAACUAUCUAAAUCAAGCUCAGUAUCCUUCUUGAUCUUGAAUCCAAAAGUUCUAUCCUCAAAUUUUAAAGAUUAUUUAAUUUUCAUCAUUCGUUUUAAUAUGAUUUACUUAUUAAAUAAAUAAUAUUGUGAAAAAAAAAAUAAAAUUUUAUUCUUAAGAACUUCAUAUAUCUAGAUCAUAUUUAAUAGUGUGGAUCGUUAAUUUAAACACUCUAAGAUAAAAAUAAAAUUAUUGUACCGGAGCUACGGUACGUAUACCUCAUUCUAUACAUAAUAACUAGCUCUAGGCUUUGUGAAGCAUUAUCGUUAAGUAACAACUAUCAAAUUCUUAGCCAAUUGUACUAUAGAUGGUCUGAUCAGACUUCGCAAAUUAUUGCAUUGAAUUAAAUUUCACAACCAGUUUUAGUUGACUUAAUGUUGGCAUGUCACUAAUAUACAAAUGAUACAACAUCGUAAUCAUCGUUACGUCUAUUCGUAAAUAGGCCAGCAUUCUGCCUAAAUGGGGGAGAUUGGAUCAGACCAGGUCAUAAUCGAUACGAAUGAACGUUGUAUUUAUACAAUUAAGUGAAUUGAUUGCACAUUUUCUAAUAGUUCUAGAUUUUAGAAUUGCGGUCAAUACUGAUGAUCGAACAAAUGGUAUCAAAAUAAGUCACGGAUUCGAUUUC